AAAUAGACAAACCCUGGUUUCCGUGCCCAACAUUUGACCGUCCGUCUUAUUUAAAAAAAUUAUGAAAAAAAAUUAAAAAGACAAGUCACGCAUAAAAUAUUAAUCAUGUUUUAUCAUCUAACAACAAUAAAAAUACGAAUUAUAAAAAAAUUUCAUAUAAGACGGACAGUCAAAGUUGGACACGAAAACCCAUGGUUUGUUUUUUU
RNAcentral lists this microRNA precursor (206 nucleotides) under Oryza sativa Indica Group (long-grained rice). RNAcentral describes it as "MIR812 microRNA precursor family". It matches the Rfam family "MIR812 microRNA precursor family". The record is from Rfam by way of RNAcentral. Lineage: Eukaryota; Viridiplantae; Streptophyta; Magnoliopsida; Poales; Poaceae.